Molecule: ribosomal RNA, 1900 nt
Filed under: Triticum aestivum (bread wheat)
Lineage: Eukaryota; Viridiplantae; Streptophyta; Magnoliopsida; Poales; Poaceae
Description: partial small subunit ribosomal RNA
Source: RNAcentral
CCGCCCGCCGCCGCCAGCCCACCUGGUCUCCUCCUCGGCUUCCUCACCGAGCCAACCACCAUCCAUCCCGAACCACCUCCCUCCAACCAACCUCCGACCACCUCCCUGGUUUUCCGCGUGGCCCAAAUCGCAGCAGCCAACAACAUCCUCCUACCCGAGCAAGCACGACCAUGGCCACGCCCACCGAAGCUCUGCACCACCCCAAGCUACUCUGCCUCCGGUGUCGUCGCGCUCAUCCCGGCCUCCUCUACGCCCGGAGCUCUCCUAGCCGUGCGUCUCCUCCUCGUUCCCAGCAAAGCCCCGUCCUCCCGAGCUCUCCCGCAGGCAGCCCCGUGCCCGAUCCAGGCGGGAUCGAGGCGACCACCUCGUGCACGCCGAGUCCAAUCGUCGGACCAGCUCCACCACCAGGCGGCACCUCUCCUUCUAUUUUCCUUCUUCCCCUGGUGCUUCUCUCCCUCUUUAAUCUGCCCGCUGUUGUUCUAAUUCUCUGUUGCCUCUGUGGUUUGCAGAGGCCGAAGCCGACGCCACCAUGCAAGCCUUCCUCAAGCUCCACCCGCACCGGAUCCACGUCCUCCGGUUUUCCCCAUGUAACCUCCGUCCUCUGCUUCGAACCAGGACCCGACGAGGGCCUCGCCGUACCCGUUGACCGCUCGAUCUCCUCUGCUUCGGCAUCGAUCCAGAGACGAACGCCGCGCACCGCCUGCUGGCGUUGACCGCGCCCAGGCCCAGCUGCUUCCCCAUCGAGCGAGCGCCCGCCUCGUCCAGCCUCCCCGUUGACCGGUCGCACCUCGUGGCCCAGCUCCAGCCACUUCCGCACCGCACCAGGCCCGGAUCUGCCAGCUCUCUGAAGCCCAAUGUGAGCAGCCCAGUUGCACCAGAUUCGGCAUGUGUAGUUUUUUUCCCCAGAUCUGCGAAUUUAGCUUUUAUCCCAGGAUUUACUGUUUUGCAGAAAAGUCCCCCUAGUUCAUGCAUUUAAUAACUCACAAUUGGUGCAUCGGAUUAAAAUGUUUCAUAUAUGAAACUUGCUUAGAAUUUUGUAUAGAUUCAUAAUAUGAAACUUUCACCCAUGUUUAAAAUGUUUAAAAUGUUGUUUGAGUAAAUUUGCUCCUAUGCCAUGUUAAAAUGAUUUAAUUCAUAACUAAAUAAUCGUAACUCUGAAUUUAAUAAACUUUAUAUGUAAAUGGGGUAGAAUUUUGCCUAGUUUAACAUGGUGGCAUAAUCUUGCAUGUUUAAUAACCAUAAAAUAUGGUUUAGGGCAGAACAGGACCAAACCUAAAAUAUGCACAUGAGGAGUUUCCGGAUUUGUUGUUCGUUGCUUCCGGCCUCAUUUAACCUUGACUAGAUAGGUAGUUUUCAUUUGCUUCACCCUCUUGCCAUGCUUAACAACAUUUAAUAUUGUUGGGUACAUAAACGGGAUCAAACUAAAUAACUUAUCGUGGUGUUUCGUCAAUAUGCAACUCGUUGCAUAUUGAGCUCCAUUUAAUUUGUAGGAUUGUUUGUGCACUUUGCCAUGCCAUGCCUCAUUAAACCGGACAUGCAUCAUACUUGUUUGCGCAUCAUGCCAUGUCUAUGUGAUGGUUGUUUACCAUGUUGUUUGCUUCUUUCCGGUGUUGCUUCUUCGGGUUGGUUCCGAUAAUGUUGUGUUUGUGAGGACCCGUUCGACUACGUUCGUUUGUCUUUUUCAUGGACUCGUUCUUCUUCCUUGCGGGAUUUCAGGUGCCGAUGAGUCCGUGCAGAUGACGCAACCAAGCUCAGGAGGAGCUCGAUGAAGAUCUUGCCCUUUGUUUUCGUUCUAGUUGAUCAGUAGUGGAGCCCAGUUGGGGUCGAUCGGGGACCUUUGUCGCAUUUGGGGUUCUUCUUUUAUUUUGGUUCCGUAGUCGGACCCUGUUUGUAUUUGGUU